AAAAGUGUCCAUAACAAUUUGUUAAAAUUUAAUGAAAAAAAUAAAAUAAAUUUGACUAACCUAGUAGUUAUUUCAUAUUAUUAGUUUUCGAUGUGUGUAAACAAAUACCUCUGCGUACCUUUGCGCAUGCGCGAUGCGGGAAAUUGGAAACAUCAUAACAAAAAUGGCGAACACCCGAUCUAAGUGGAAGGGUCCUGAAUCAGUUUUAACCGAGAGCACGAAGAAACGAAUAAUCGAGAACGUGAUUUUAACUUCACAAAGACGAACACGUAUCUUAGAGACAGAGCAAGCAGAUGGCAUCAGUUAAAAAAGACCGAAGGGAUUAAAACAGACCCUCCUUUGGCCAAGCUAAUGCCUUGAACAGUUUUGAAAGCAAGCCUGAGAUCUAGAGCGUACGUAUAGAUCUGGUCAUAAAGAAACUGAAGCCAAUGAAGAUGACCACAGGCGACAUGGAGUACAUGCAGCCACUACGGACGACACUAUUACUAGUCGCACUUAGAUAUCACAGGAUUUAUAACACAAAAGUUCUUGGAGGACAAAAAGUGCCGUACAAGGUGGAAAGGACAUACCAACACAUCCAGGGACUCAUCAAUCUGAUAGUGGCCAACAGAAUAACAGAUAGAACUGGAAUAUCUAGCCAAAACCCUUGCAUCAAAUAGAUCCCAGAAGAUUCAAACUCCUAGCCCAUGCUCCUCCACCAUCUACUGCCCAAAUGGUAGAGGAGAAGAAAUCCCAAUUAAGAUGAAUGGGAAUAAUUGACAUUUUGAGACUAAUCACGUUCCAGAGACUAUUACUUUUGAAUAUCUGUCCUUACGUUUAGUAGCUGACCUGGUCUGAAGGACCAAGGUGAGUAUGCCAUACUGAGGCGUCCGGCAUUCGUCUGUCAACAUUGUCAACACAAUAUUUGAAUAACUUGAGUAAAUGUCAGAAUAUACCAAAUUUGAUAAAACUUUAUAAGCAGCCAUAUAUCGACAAGAUCUCAGACAACUUCAAAAAUAGAAAUUAUUGGACAGUAGUUUUUGACAGUAGUUUGCAGAGUUAUUGCCCUUUGUAAUGGUCUUAUUAUUAACAUUUUUUUAGUUCACUGGUCAGAAUGGAAACUCUUUUAGAAAUUCUACUAGUCCUGAACAAUUAAAUGGAUUUAAUGAAAUUUGGUCAGGAGAAUUAUGUGGCAAUGUUAUACUACUUAUACUUAUACUUGUUAUAUUACUUUUGAAUAUCUGUCCUCACAAGUAAUUUAUAAACUCUCAAAAUUCAUUGAUGUCAACACCCACUAGUGCUCAAUAGUCUUUAAUGUCAACACACACUAGUACUCAAUAGUCAUGGAUGACAACACUCACCAGUAGUAGUACUCAAUAGUCAUUUAUGUCAACACUCACUAAUACUCAUGUCAUAUAUGUCAACACUCACUAAUACUCAAUAGUCAUGGAUGACAACACUCACUAGUACUCAUUAGUAACGUAUGUCAACACUCCAUAAUACUCAAUAGUCAUUGAUGUCAACACUCAAUUAUCACUGAUGCCAACAAUUGUCAUUGAUGUUAAGUCACUAGUCAUGGCAGUCAACUUUCUCUAGUCAUUGAUGCCAAUGCUUACAUCUGAGCAAGACAAUAAAUACAAUGUGGUAAAUUC
This is a long non-coding RNA of Pecten maximus, 1631 nucleotides long. RefSeq lists it as uncharacterized. The record is from RefSeq and is a predicted model, not a curated record. The transcript has 3 exons. Lineage: Eukaryota; Metazoa; Mollusca; Bivalvia; Pectinida; Pectinidae.